RNAcentral lists this ribosomal RNA (428 nucleotides) under uncultured cyanobacterium. RNAcentral's name for it is "bacterial SSU rRNA". It matches the Rfam family "Bacterial small subunit ribosomal RNA", at positions 356 to 795 of the family's 1533-position model. The record is from RNAcentral. Lineage: Bacteria; Bacillati; Cyanobacteriota.
GGGGAAUUUUCCGCAAUGGGCGAAAGCCUGANCGGAGCAAUACCGCGUGAGGGAGGAAGGCUCUUGGGUUGUAAACCUCUUUUCUACAGGGAAUAAGAANCUGAAGGUACCUGAGGAAUCAGCAUCGGCUAACUCCGUGCCAGCAGCCGCGGUAAUANCGGAGGAUGCAAGCGUUAUCCGGAAUGAUUGGGCGUAAAGCGUCCGCAGGUGGUUUAUCAAGUCUGCUGUCAAAGAGUUUGGCUCAACCAAAUAAAGGCAGUGGAAACUGACAGACUGGAGUGCGGUAAGGGCAGAGGGAAUUCCUGGUGUAGCGGUGAAAUGCGUAGAGAUCAGGAAGAACACCGGUGGCGAAAGCGCUCUGCUGGGCCGUAACUGACACUGAGGGACGAAAGCUAGGGGAGCGAAUGGGAUUAGAUACCCCAGUAGUC